AGAGUUUGAUCCUGGCUCAGGAUGAACGCUGGCGGCGUGCUUAACACAUGCAAGUCGAACGGAAAGGCCUCUGCUUGCAGGGGUACUCGAGUGGCGAACGGGUGAGUAACACGUGGGUGAUCUGCCUUGUACUUCGGGAUAAGCCUGGGAAACUGGGUCUAAUACCGGAUAGGACCAAUCUUUAGUGUGGUUGGUGGUGAAGUGCCCCGGGUUUUGUUCCUAGGCGUUUGCCUUGAUUUCUAUUAUUGCUUGCGGCGGGUGCUGGUCCCAAAAUUCGGUUUCCACUUCAGCUGGCGUGCGGUAGCCCAAGCUUUGGUGAAGCCUCGUCUCGUUCCACCAUGACACCCACUCAAACGUCGCGAUUUCCACCUCGACAACCUCAUCCCACCUGCGAGUAUGGAUCAGCUCGUUUUUGUAGGAACCAUUAACGUUUUCCGCCAGAGCAUUGUCAUAGGAGUCGCCAACAGUUCCGGUGGAAGCGGCAAUCCCGUGCUGGGCAAGACGCUCGUUGUAGACAACGCUGACAUACUGCGAGCCGUGAUCCGAAUGAUGAAUGAGACCUGUUGUUUCCUCAGCAGACGCGAUCGCCUGGUUGAGAGCUUGCAGCGGCAACGCUUCGGUGCGCAUGGAAUCUGAUAACGCCCACCCAACGAUCCGUCGGGAGUAAACAUCGGUGACAAACGCGGCAUACACAAAGCCUUUCUUCGUGCGCACGUAGGUAAUAUCAGCCACCCACAGCUUGUUCGGGCCUUCGGCUUUGAAUUCUCGCUCCACCAAGUCCGGGCGCAAAUCCGGCCUUUGAGGUGUGCGAGUGGUCAUAGGCGAGCGGCCUUUGCCUUUGCCUGAUACACCGGCUAGACGCAUCAGCCGCGCGGUUUGUUCACGACCGAUAUCGAUUCCGUCACGAUGAAGAGCAUGCCACAUUUUCCGCACACCGUAGAUGCCGUAAUUAUCCCGAUGGAUAGCACUAAUGCGUUCAACCAGCACAGCAUCACGAAGGCCGCGAGCACUUACCCCACGGGCCUUGGACUGACGAUACCCACGCGAGGUGAUGAACCCACCAGCGCGGUUUUUCUUCAACGUCUUACAGAUGAACUCGACAGAGAAACGAUUCCGGUAUUCAUCGAUGAACCGGAUCAUUUCCGACGUUUUGGGUCGAGUUCCGACGCGAAAAAAGCUGAGGCAGCCUUUAAAAGUUCAUUGGUGUCGCGUAGCUCUUGAUUUUCACGGCGAAGCCUCGCGUUUUCGGCGGCCAGAUCUUCAGGCACGGGUUCUGGGAUGUUUCCCGCACGGCGGGCCUGUUGGGUCCAUUGACGGGCUGUGUGCCAUGACACCCCCAGCUUUGGGGCUACUGCCUGGCACGCGGCUUGCAUCGACAUAUUUUCCGCCAAGAUGCGGUCCUCUACAAGACGGACCACACGAUCCUUCGCAUCCUGGUCAAAUUUUCUUGGCAUAUUCCAGAUUUCCCAUCUACUCAAACGGAACAAAACCUGGGACACUUCAGUGGAAAGUUUUUCGGUACGAGAUGAGCCCGCGGCCUAUCAGCUUGUUGGUGGGGUAAUGGCCUACCAAGGCGACGACGGGUAGCCGGCCUGAGAGGGUGUACGGCCACAUUGGGACUGAGACACGGCCCAGACUCCUACGGGAGGCAGCAGUGGGGAAUAUUGCACAAUGGGCGGAAGCCUGAUGCAGCGACGCCGCGUGAGGGAUGACGGCCUUCGGGUUGUAAACCUCUUUCGCUAGGGAAGAAGCCUUUUUGGUGACGGUACCUGGAUAAGAAGCACCGGCUAACUACGUGCCAGCAGCCGCGGUAAUACGUAGGGUGCAAGCGUUGUCCGGAAUUACUGGGCGUAAAGAGCUCGUAGGUGGUUUGUCGCGUCGUUAGUGAAAGCCCGGGGCUUAACUCCGGGUCUGCUGGCGAUACGGGCAUAACUUGAGUGCUGUAGGGGAGACUGGAAUUCCUGGUGUAGCGGUGGAAUGCGCAGAUAUCAGGAGGAACACCGAUGGCGAAGGCAGGUCUCUGGGCAGUAACUGACGCUGAGGAGCGAAAGCAUGGGUAGCGAACAGGAUUAGAUACCCUGGUAGUCCAUGCCGUAAACGGUGGGCGCUAGGUGUGGGGGUUUUUCACGACUUCCGUGCCGUAGCUAACGCAUUAAGCGCCCCGCCUGGGGAGUACGGCCGCAAGGCUAAAACUCAAAGGAAUUGACGGGGGCCCGCACAAGCGGCGGAGCAUGUGGAUUAAUUCGAUGCAACGCGAAGAACCUUACCUGGGCUUGACAUAUACGGGAUCGGCGUAGAGAUACGUUUUCCCUUGUGGCUCGUAUACAGGUGGUGCAUGGUUGUCGUCAGCUCGUGUCGUGAGAUGUUGGGUUAAGUCCCGCAACGAGCGCAACCCUUGUCUUGUGUUGCCAGCACGUUAUGGUGGGGACUCGCGAGAGACUGCCGGGGUUAACUCGGAGGAAGGUGGGGAUGACGUCAAAUCAUCAUGCCCCUUAUGUCCAGGGCUUCACACAUGCUACAAUGGUCGGUACAGUGGGUUGCGAUGCCGUGAGGUGGAGCUAAUCCCUUAAAGCCGGUCUCAGUUCGGAUUGGAGUCUGCAACUCGACUCCAUGAAGUCGGAGUCGCUAGUAAUCGCAGAUCAGCAACGCUGCGGUGAAUACGUUCCCGGGCCUUGUACACACCGCCCGUCACGUCAUGAAAGUUGGUAACACCCGAAGCCAGUGGCCCAAACUCGUUAGGGAGCUGUCGAAGGUGGGAUCGGCGAUUGGGACGAAGUCGUAACAAGGUAGCCGUACCGGAAGGUGCGGCUGGAUCACCU
This 2819-nucleotide ribosomal RNA is filed under the name Corynebacterium resistens DSM 45100. RNAcentral's name for it is "bacterial SSU rRNA". The stretch from base 1320 to 2819 matches the Rfam family "Bacterial small subunit ribosomal RNA". The record is from RNAcentral. Lineage: Bacteria; Bacillati; Actinomycetota; Actinomycetes; Mycobacteriales; Corynebacteriaceae.